RNAcentral lists this ribosomal RNA (253 nucleotides) under uncultured bacterium. Its description in RNAcentral is "partial 16S ribosomal RNA". It matches the Rfam family "Bacterial small subunit ribosomal RNA", at positions 524 to 776 of the family's 1533-position model. The record is from RNAcentral.
UACGUAGGGGGCAAGCGUUGUCCGGAAUCAUUGGGCGUAAAGCGCGUGUAGGCGGCCAGAUAAGUCCGUUCUGAAAGCCCGGGGCUCAACCCCGGGAGGCGGAUGGAUACUGUUUGGCUCGAGUCCGGAAGAGGCGAGUGGAAUUCCCGGUGUAGCGGUGAAAUGCGCAGAUAUCGGGAGGAACACCAAUGGCGAAGGCAGCUCGCUGGGAAGGUACUGACGCUGAGACGCGAAAGCGUGGGGAGCAAACGGA